GAAAACUUAAAUAGAAUGUUGAGAACUUAGAAUCUCCAUGUUAGUAAGGAAAAAUUUGAAAAGAAACUAUUGUACUAAAUUCACUUUCUAUUAGUGUAAUUGUACUGCAGACAUGAGCUGAUAGUUGUUGGGUGUUAACGAGAGGAGUACGGUAUAUAUGAUUUACUUUAUCUUGCUGUACAUGAGUAAUUCUACUGCUCAUGCUUCAAGAUUUGACUAAGUGUGGAACAAUUGCUCACCGUUUCAUUACAAUAGUAGCAUCCACCGACUUAGGCUUUUAUAUUUCACGACACCAUUUAGUUCUAUUGUUUACUAGCACCAUACCACACUUAUAUUUUACCGACAUAAUUUUUUUAGAUAUUGUUAUAGUCCAAAUAAUUUUAAUACAUUUCUCUCAUAACUUCUUGGAAGUGCACAUAAUAUGUUAAGGACUAACGAGGGCAUGUUGAUGAAAAACUUUUCGACUUCUUAAUGUUAAUUAGGGAUAAAUUGAAAUUUAUAGUAGUUUAAGGGUAUUUAGCGGAUAAUUAAUUUAUUAGGGAAGAACACCAAAAUGAACCCUAAAAUAUUUUACAUUUAAUCACUAAUUCUCAUUACAUAAUUGGAGAUGCAGUCACUAACAAAUAAUUUCUUAACAGGCACCAUACCAAAAGAAAUUGGCAACUUUACUAAGCUUAAGGAGUUAAUUCUUUCCAAUAACAGACUUGAAGGUACGGAUUAUGACAGAAUUUGUAUCUAAAUAAAGUUUAUAGUCAUCACCCAUUGAUAUUUUACUUUAACCAAUGAUGCUCAUUCUUAGAAUAUCGUGAAGAUUAGUACGAAUAUUUGAAAUUGUUGAUUUGUGAUAAAUAGAUUUAGUGUUUAGCAU
RNAcentral lists this long non-coding RNA (868 nucleotides) under Citrus sinensis (sweet orange). RNAcentral's name for it is "long non-coding RNA (CSIN_LNC005699)". The record is from RNAcentral. Lineage: Eukaryota; Viridiplantae; Streptophyta; Magnoliopsida; Sapindales; Rutaceae.